Molecule: long non-coding RNA, 906 nt
Organism: Sipha flava (yellow sugarcane aphid)
Lineage: Eukaryota; Metazoa; Arthropoda; Insecta; Hemiptera; Aphididae
Exons: 5
Source: RefSeq, a predicted model, not a curated record
UUAACUUCGCUAAGAAUUUAUUUUUGAAUGCGAUGACGGAUAAUAUUUAUUUCAAAUUACUUACAUACUUACAUGAAAGGACCGGCGAACGAGACCAUAACCAUAUCGUAAUUCACGAUUUACUUAUUCUAACAUUCUUAUAUGAUAUUAUAUAAAGUACAGAUUAGACGAACGGAUAAGAUAGCGGAAGCUAACUACUAUCUACUCGACGAAUACAUGAUUCAUGUCGAACGAUAUUAUCAAAAAGGAGAGUGGUCUAAUGGUGAAGUCGCAAAAAAAAGAAUUUACUUGGCAAUCGAUGAUCCUGAGAUAUUUGCUGAAGCUUUUAUCAAGUAUCCGGAUUAGGAAAUAAUCGUGAUCCAAAAGUGUCUAAAACCGCAACCGUUAUGACGCUAACAUAGGCAUUAUCGGCAUUACCAUCGAUGUCCAUUUCUUAUCGAUUUGCGAUCAUAUUGUAUGUACAUUUACAUCAAACGUGUGCCAGAUGGCAUUCGAGAUGAUGAAAAGUUUGCGCGGAGACGCAUCGACCCGCUGCAGCACUUUAGACAGCUUCUACAACUUUGCGUCUUUCAGUCUUAUGUUAAACGAAGCGGUAAUGUCUCACGAAACGGACAACAGUAAGAAUAUCGAACUGCUGACUGGUGACGUUGUUUUGCCGGCUGAAAAUUAUUGGAACGGUUCUACAAUCGGAGUAAAUUCAAGAACACGAGCCAGAGGUUUCUCCAAAAAUCGAUACGGCCAAUUUCACUCUUGUCUGUGCAACGUGAAAUCGUAUUCAGUAUAUGGUAUAAUGCUAUGUGGCGCAAAACCUAACCGAAAUCAGCAUCAAAACAGUACCUACAUGUGUUUAUAAACCGACAGUGUAAUAGUUUAGAUUCAGUGAAGUAUCGAUUUAAUUAAAACCAC